AUUCCUUCUGUGCCUGAUCAAUUGAGAAUGUGAGUCUGUUCUAGCCCCUUGCUACAGAUCCUGGCUCUUUAGCAUAGGCAUUCUGCACUAGAGGUCCCUAAUUUUGGGAUUCAAACUGCAGAUACAUAGGAGAAGCUGCCUCAGUCCUGAAGAAUUAUGCAGCCUGGAGAUCCCUCGUGCAAUCCCUGGUGUUGGCAGCUGAAUACCUUCAGCUUCCCUGGGACAGUAAUGGGUAGACUGCUCUGCUGCCUGUCACGGAACUUAGUCCAUGAAAGUUCUGUCUUUGAAAAGCUACAUAAGAUACCUGCAGGUUGUUCCACAGGAGGGUUGUACUGCUCCAAAGUGAUCCUGUGGAGCUGUGGAGGAUUUUACCUCAGAUGCCUCUGCUUCAGUUUCCCGAUCUGUGAAAUGAGGAUAGGAAUACUGACCUACCUGACAAGGUAAAAUAAUAAAUGUUGUUAACUUCUAUUGCGAUCA
Molecule: long non-coding RNA, 477 nt
Filed under: Gopherus agassizii (Agassiz's desert tortoise)
Lineage: Eukaryota; Metazoa; Chordata; Testudines; Testudinidae
Description: lncRNA (ENSGAGG00000024752.1)
Source: RNAcentral